This is a non-coding RNA of Ciona intestinalis (vase tunicate), 517 nucleotides long. The record is from RefSeq and is a predicted model, not a curated record. NCBI's taxonomy places the organism in Eukaryota, Metazoa, Chordata, Ascidiacea, Phlebobranchia, Cionidae.
UAUUCUGACCUCCCCUGUUCCCAGUGUACAUUGGCUUACAACCCAAAGGCAUCGCGCCUAAUAUUUCAGUGUGGUAUUAAAAUAUUUCGAAGAUUUUACGUUGUUUUUCGAGUCGCAUUUUGUCGAGUAGAAGUACAUAUUAUACAUCAAAAGAAAGAUGAUUUCAUACUAUCAAGUUUGCAAUGCAUUUUUUUGGAUAUUUUUGUUCAUUUUUGAAAUAUUCCAUAUUGAAAAAUUCAUUAUGAUGUCAUUGUGAUUUUGAUGACGUCAUCAAAAAACUAAAAAGAUGAAGUUGAAGACAAUUUUAUACACUACGAACUUGCCAGGGUGCAAAAUCAUUCGUAAACGACCUAGUUGAAGAUCGGGGUGUCGUGAUCAUUAGAGCAGUAAUUUCACUGCGAUCUAAUGUUUUAUGUUCGUCGCGUGUUCGUAAAAAUCAGCUAAUGAAGUUGCUCGAGUAACAAACAUUGCCGUGCUGCAAUUAGACAUUUUGCGCUUAAUUGUUACGUCACAUGUC